Molecule: transfer RNA, 78 nt
Filed under: Clostridium botulinum C str. Eklund
Lineage: Bacteria; Bacillati; Bacillota; Clostridia; Eubacteriales; Clostridiaceae
Description: tRNA-Thr
Rfam family: tRNA
About the family: Transfer RNA (tRNA) molecules are approximately 80 nucleotides in length.
Source: RNAcentral
UGCUCCUAUGGCUCAGUUGGUAGAGCAACUGAUUCGUAAUCAGUAGGUCGCAGGUUCAAAUCCUGUUAGGAGCACCAA